This 1693-nucleotide long non-coding RNA is filed under the name Paramuricea clavata. Lineage: Eukaryota; Metazoa; Cnidaria; Anthozoa; Malacalcyonacea; Plexauridae. The record is from RNAcentral.
ACCAAAGCUUACGGAAGAAGUAAUACAUACCACAUUCUAGCAAACAACUGCCAUAUGUUUGUUAAUCGACUGGCAAAGUACCUGAACACUAACUGCGGACGUUGAUAAUUGAUUAAUCAAAAUCUCUGAAGUGGCUUAAAGGACAUUAAUUUUUGGAACCGACAGUUUUAAUUUGAUUAAUAGUUUUUGAUUUUUAGAUAAACAUACCUUGAGAAAGUUUUGAUUUUACGGUGUCAAGUUUUUCUUGAUAAUGUACGGAAUUAAUGCAAAUGUUACAUGUAGUAUGAAAAAUAUAUAAUCUCAGCAAAUUGUGAUUUUGAAUAAUGUAUAUCAAGUUGGUGUCCUUAGGCUGGAAUUAGUAGAUUACGGCAGAGUUUUAAUAUUUUACAGAAAAUAAGUUUUAUUUUUCAAGUUGUUCGAGUUGUGCGGUAUUUCGGAACUAAGUCUAGUACCUUUGAUACAAACAGGCGGUGUGCGACACGAGCGCGCAGAGCAUGCUGGUUGAAAAUUAAAUUUCGCUCAUAUUACACUCGACUUUCGAGGUGUGUCUUUUAAUACUGUAUUAACUAAAGCGAUGGGAAUCAUUUUCUGGACAUACCAAAAUUUUUCGGAACCUAACAAAAAUUUUCGAAACAUCACAAAAUUGACCACAAAAUUGACAGAAUUUGUCCCAUUUAUUUUUAUAAUAAACCAAAAUUGCCCGACUAUUCAGCGAAUAUUGCCCGACUACAUGAGAAUAACGUCACUUCAGUUGUUGUUAUGGUUGGUAGAAUGUUAGAAGAGAAAGUAGUAAACGAAAAUCGGGCAAGGUACGACCUCCAAGCGUUUGAGAGUUGUUCGUCUAGCUUGUUAUAGAAAUUUUCAAUUUGAAAUCUGUUCCCUUGAAAUAUAUAGGGCACGAGACGAAAACCUUCGCACUGGUUUACAAUUAUGGAAUGAAAAUCGACGGGACGAAGCUGCACGUUUUCUCAAGCAGGGGGCAAAUGUAUCGACCAAAAUGGCUCUUGAAUUGAUCAAGGUAAACUGGGAAUAUAAAAAGUUUAUGAAGAUUUCUAGUAGGUCUUUAACUCCAAAUCGUUUAAAUUAUUGGAACACGUCAUUUUAAAUAGCUUUUUUUUCCAAGAAGGGACAAUAUAAAUAACCUUUCUGGUAUAGGAGGCCUACCUCGGGUCCAAAAGUUACCUUAAGUCGCCUUAAACCGCCCAAAGUCGCAUUAAGUUGCACUACAUCGCCUUGUACUCUUUGUGUUCUCGAUAAAUCGCAUCCGUCAAAAUGUGUGUAUUUAUUUUAAUAUUAAAUGGUGUUUCGUUUAGUACGAAAGUAGCGAACGACUUUUGAGCGAUGAGAAACGAGAUCACGAAGUUCACGUAAGCGACUUUUGGUUGAUGAAAAAUAUAAGGAUAUUUUUGGACGCCAUGUUUGAUCGAGUGUUUAUAUAACUUUUAGAAAGUGAUUUAAGAGGCGAUAUUCAAGAAUUUGUAGCCGUUAAAUUGCGAGGAGACCACCGGGUAAUUUAUUGCAUGUGAAUUUACGUUUAUCUGCAUUAUUUUUGUAUUUUACAUGUCUUUUUUAUUGUAAAAGUAUGUGUAAUUUUGUAUUGUUUAGAUUUCGAAACUAUUAAAUGUACGUUGACAUUCGUCGUUGUUUGUUUCUGAAAUGGCGGUUGAAAACGAAGAAAGCGGCUAACAAAACA